AUACGGAGGGUGCGAGCGUUAUUCGGGAUUACUGGGCGUAAAGCGCGUGCAGGCGGGUGGAAAAGUCUGAUGUGAAAGCCCCGGGCUCAACCUGGGAAGUGCAUUGGAAACUGGGGGACUUGAGUACGGGAGAGGGUAGUGGAAUUCCUAGUGUAGGAGUGAAAUCCGUAGAUAUUAGGAGGAACACCGGUGGCGAAGGCGGCUACCUGGACCGAUACUGACGCUGAGACGCGAAAGCGUGGGGAGC
RNAcentral lists this ribosomal RNA (247 nucleotides) under uncultured bacterium. RNAcentral's name for it is "partial 16S ribosomal RNA". It matches the Rfam family "Bacterial small subunit ribosomal RNA", at positions 523 to 769 of the family's 1533-position model. The record is from RNAcentral.